This 275-nucleotide ribosomal RNA is filed under the name uncultured bacterium. Its description in RNAcentral is "partial 16S ribosomal RNA". It matches the Rfam family "Bacterial small subunit ribosomal RNA", at positions 338 to 604 of the family's 1533-position model. The record is from RNAcentral.
CCUACGGGAGGCUGCAGUGGGGAAUCUUGCGCAAUGGGCGAAAGCCUGACGCAGCAACGCCGCGUGUGUGAUGAAGGUCUUCGGAUCGUAAAGCACUGUCGGCAGGAACGAUGGUUACUCAGAAUAACAAGCUGAGUGAUUGACGGUACCUGCAAAGGAAGCACCGGCUAACUCUGUGCCAGCAGCCGCGGUAAUACAGAGGGUGCAAGCGUUGUUCGGAAUCAUUGGGCGUAAAGCGCACGUAGGCGGCAUUGCAAGUCAGGUGUGAAAGCCUG